Molecule: ribosomal RNA, 490 nt
Filed under: uncultured bacterium
Lineage: Bacteria
Description: partial 16S ribosomal RNA
Rfam family: Bacterial small subunit ribosomal RNA
Source: RNAcentral
AUUGAACGCUGGCGGCAGGCCUAACACAUGCAAGUCGAACGGUAACAGGAAGAAGCUUGCUUCUUUGCUGACGAGUGGCGGACGGGUGAGUAAUGUCUGGGAAACUGCCUGAUGGAGGGGGAUAACUACUGGAAACGGUAGCUAAUACCGCAUAACGUCGCAAGUCCAAAGAGGGGGACCUUCGGGCCUCUUGCCAUCGGAUGUGCCCAGAUGGGAUUAGCUAGUAGGUGGGGUAACGGCUCACCUAGGCGACGAUCCCUAGCUGGUCUGAGAGGAUGACCAGCCACACUGGAACUGAGACACGGUCCAGACUCCUACGGGAGGCAGCAGUGGGGAAUAUUGCACAAUGGGCGCAAGCCUGAUGCAGCCAUGCCGCGUGUAUGAAGAAGGCCUUCGGGUUGUAAAGUACUUUCAGCGGGGAGGAAGGGAGUAAAGUUAAUACCUUUGCUCAUUGACGUUACCCGAAGAAGAAGCACCGGCUAACUCCGUG